GACGAACGCUGGCGGCGUGCCUAAUACAUGCAAGUUGAGCGCUGAAGGUUGGUACUUGUACCAACUGGAUGAGCAGCGAACGGGUGAGUAACGCGUGGGGAAUCUGCCUUUGAGCGGGGGACAACAUUUGGAAACGAAUGCUAAUACCGCAUAAAAACUUUAAACACAAGUUUUAAGUUUGAAAGAUGCCAUUGCAUCACUCAAAGAUGAUCCCGCGUUGUAUUAGCUAGUUGGUGAGGUAAAGGCUCACCAAGGCGAUGAUACAUAGCCGACCUGAGAGGGAGAGCGGCCACAUUGGGACUGAGACACGGCCCAAACUCCUAAGGGAGGCAGCAGUAGGGAAACUUCGGCAAUGGGCGAAAGUCUGACCGAGCAACGCCGCGUGAGAGAAGAAGGUUUUCGGAUCGGAAAACUCUGUUGGUAGAGAAGAACGGUGGUGAGAGUGGAAAGCUCAUCAAGUGACGGUAACUACCCAGAAAGGGACGGCUAACUACGUG
This 497-nucleotide ribosomal RNA is filed under the name uncultured bacterium. RNAcentral's name for it is "partial 16S ribosomal RNA". It matches the Rfam family "Bacterial small subunit ribosomal RNA", at positions 28 to 507 of the family's 1533-position model. The record is from RNAcentral.